GGCCACACCCCCUUUGCAUGUGAUGUCAUCAUGUGACAUAUCACAUGUAAAGGGUGUGUGACCUGGAGCUCUCAAGAGUCCUGAUACCUUCUGUGUAUAGAAAGCUAUUUCUAUGGCUUGGUUUGAAGAUCCUUUGGUGACUUUCAGGCCUCCUUCCAUCAACUGACCCCAAGAUGGCUUCCUACAAGUUUAAAACAAAUGCAAGAAUAGACAAACUUUAAAAAUCACUUAAUGAAAUACUGAGUGAAAGUACACACAGGAGCAAAGUAAAAACAGCACAGAAUGACACCACCAAAAUCUCCUCACAGCUAGUUAAUCCUACUCUAACUCUAACCAUUACACCACACUGGCACAAACAGUUUGCCAUUUAGGGUACAAACAGUAGCUUAGAGGAGGGGUGUUUUUGGAUAAAUGGUGUAGUGGUUAAACAAGCCCCCUUCUUGUGUGCCACAGUCCUGCUCUGGAUCUCCACCCCUCACCCCCGCAGCUAGUUUUUGUUAAAGAUAAAUUCCCAUUCUUAAGCAUACCUGUUGAUAGUGCAUUUCAGGUAAUGUAUGCUUUGGCUCCAAGCCUAUUGGUUUCAGUGCCUAACUCUUCAUCAGAACCAGCCUCCAGCCUGGGAAGCAGCCAUCCACCUUAGUGACCUUCAGCCAAAAAAAGGAGAGCUUUUGAAGGGCCGAGGAGGUGCCUUUUUUGCUGAAGCAGCCCAGAUAUUUCAAAGGAGUGCGUCAAUUAAUACAAUAUUUGUCAAAGGAAGAUUUGUUACACGGACAAUGGAGGGGGAAGAAAAGGAACAUUAAGUCCUGAAAGCAAAUCUCUCACCAGCUUCUGUCCCAUUCAGCUCAGUAUUUGUUCUCAUCACCAGCGUAUUAUUUUCCAUUAGGAGAUUACAGACGACAUGAGAUGGUAAUAAAAGAAACAGAUUCAUUGUUAUGUGCCUGACGGUGAACAUUUAGCUAAAUGGAUUCCUUUAUAUUGCCAGUGCUUUUCUUCAUAUUACAACGGAUGCUUUCAUUUAAA
Molecule: long non-coding RNA, 1020 nt
Organism: Hemicordylus capensis (graceful crag lizard)
Lineage: Eukaryota; Metazoa; Chordata; Lepidosauria; Squamata; Cordylidae
Exons: 2
Source: RefSeq, a predicted model, not a curated record